Molecule: long non-coding RNA, 942 nt
Filed under: Homo sapiens (human)
Lineage: Eukaryota; Metazoa; Chordata; Mammalia; Primates; Hominidae
Description: HSALNT0290659
Source: RNAcentral
UCCUGCCUCAGCCUCCUGAGUAGCUGGGAUUACAGGUGCCAGGCACCACACCCAGCUAACUGAAUUGAGCAGGUUCCUUAAUGUGGUCUAGGUUGAAGACAGCAUCAAGGAAACAAUGCAGGAAUUAACACUCAUCAAACAGGGACGAAAGGUCUCCAUAUGUUGCCCAGGCUGGUCUUGAACUCUACAGGUGGUACAUUCAAUACCAAGCUGAGAACACCCUCUCAAACUGAGAUGAGAAACAGACUCAAAGAGGUUAGGAAAUUCACCCAUGGUCACAGAGAUAGACAAGGAAAAAGGGAAAUAAGAAGGCCCAAGAAGAGGGAGGGAGAGAGAUGGAAGAACUGCCGGUUGGUGGAGCAGUCAGAACAUACAUAUUUCUCGAUCAAGUUGGCCGUCUUACAUGGAACAUGGAAAGUUAUCUUUUCCAAGGCAAUCAGGAAAAGUUCUCAAGGCAACUGUGUGCAAGGUAAUGAUGGAUAUUAGAGAAAGGGAAAACUUAUAGUAAGACUAGGUUUUCCUGUAGAGGUUUUCUUUAAAAGACUGAGGGAGCACAGCUCUAGGCUGACUGAAUUACCUUCUCUGGAAGCAGGUCAGUACAAUAGUCCUUUGUCAUGGAGGAGGAUUAGUUACUAAAUGUGGGGAAAAGGGAGCUACAUUUUGAACAAAGUAUAACUACUCAGAAAGAUGUAGAACUAAGUUAAUACCCAAUGACUGAGACUUUAGGGCUCAUGAUGAAAGACAUGAACUACUGUAAAAAAUGGGGAAAUCUAUCCCACAUAAAGAGGCAAGGAAGAACUACGUAAGGGACUUGCCAACAGGCUCAACUAACAGGUGUCUGGGCUCAUUCUGCAGUAUAUAAAAGAAUUUGACCAGCAUCAGUAUUUUCCAAGGAAUGCCUAAGAGUUUACUGGGGAGGGAAACAAGAAAAUAGGAAUGGGA